GCUUCCCGAAUUCUGGCCGAAUAGUCCUGUCGCAGAUAAGCUCAGCUUCUGCUAUUCCGUUGGCUGCUCUGUUGCUUUUGGGGCUCCCUGAUAACUCUUCUGGUUCCUUGCAUGGACUUGUCAUGUUUAUCAUGGGUCUGAGCAUCUCCUGGAAUGGUCCUGCAACUAACAAGCAACCCGAUAUUUGCUGAGAUUGUACCUGAGAGGUCAAGGACAAGCAUCUAUGAAUUGGACUGUUCUUUUGAGUUAGUUCUAGCUUCAUUCGCUCCACCAGUUGUUGGGUUUCUAGCCGAGCAUGUCUAUGGGUACAAUCCCGUCCCCUACGGAGCAUGUCACUGUACCUAAAUGGCCUAUCAUUUCUCAUCUUUUUUAAAUUAAUUAGCUCACAUUACAUAAUGUGAGAAUGUGUUUUUAUGGUUAAGCUAUAGUCUUGAUUCAGAUUCACUUCUAUUUGUUUCAGCUAUUGGAGAUGCUUCUGAAUAAUUGCGGAGAGCCUGUCCAUAGGCAGGUCAUUGAUAAUGGCCUUCUUCCAAUACUUGUGAAGAUAGUGAAGAAAAAGACGGAUUUACCAGUUCGAGAAAAAAUAUUUCUUCUGUUAGAUGCAACACAAACAUCCCUUGGUGGAGCUAAAGCAAGGCUCCCUCAGUACUAUGAGUCGUGAAACAAUUUGUCUCCCUUCUUUUCAGUUGUAUAUUGUCCUUGUUAGAUUAAACUGUCUUACUACACUUUAUCUAACAUUCUGUUUGCUUUUUGGCUGACUGGCUUAUUUGUUGGAUGGACAACAGAUUAAAGGCUGCUGGUGGUAGAGCUAAUGGAGAUGGAACAAGGAAGACAAGGACACGGGACCGGCCUAGGGCUGUUCCAGCUCCAGAGGCAAACGCCGAACUGCAAGCAAAUAUUGAUAAAAGAAGGUUAAUAACUCAUGCAAAUGCGAAGAGCAAGAGUGAAAAGUUCCCUCCGCCGCAUCAGGAUGGCGCACUUGGAUUUCCCUUGGGUUGUUCGAACCACAUGGAACCUUCAUUUGAACCCCCAGACCCUUCUUCCUUCAGCACUGUAUUUCCUUAC
Zea mays is the source of this 1065-nucleotide long non-coding RNA. RefSeq lists it as uncharacterized. The record is from RefSeq and is a predicted model, not a curated record. The transcript is spliced from 4 exons. Lineage: Eukaryota; Viridiplantae; Streptophyta; Magnoliopsida; Poales; Poaceae.